GACAGAGGUGCCGAGCGUUAGGCGGAAUCACUGGGCUUAAAGCGUGUGUAGGCGGAUUGGUAAGUACCUUGUGAAAUCCCACGGCUUAACCGUGGAACUGCUGGGUAUACUGCUUAUCUUGGGCCACUUAGGGGCUAGCGGAACAAACGGUGGAGCGGUGAAAUGCGUAGAUAUCGUUUGGAACGCCAAUGGUGAAAACAGCUAGCUGGGAGUGUGCCGACGCUGAGACACGAAAGCCAGGGGAGCGAACGGG
Molecule: ribosomal RNA, 253 nt
Filed under: uncultured bacterium
Lineage: Bacteria
Description: partial 16S ribosomal RNA
Rfam family: Bacterial small subunit ribosomal RNA
Source: RNAcentral